RNAcentral lists this transfer RNA (86 nucleotides) under Methyloceanibacter sp. Its description in RNAcentral is "tRNA-Leu". It matches the Rfam family "tRNA". From Rfam's summary of the family: Transfer RNA (tRNA) molecules are approximately 80 nucleotides in length. Their secondary structure includes four short double-helical elements and three loops (D, anti-codon, and T loops). The record is from RNAcentral. Lineage: Bacteria; Pseudomonadati; Pseudomonadota; Alphaproteobacteria; Hyphomicrobiales; Hyphomicrobiaceae.
GCCCAGGUGGCGGAAUUGGUAGACGCGCUAGCUUCAGGUGCUAGUGCCCGUAAGGCGUGGAAGUUCGAGUCUUCUCCUGGGCACCA